Molecule: ribosomal RNA, 838 nt
Filed under: uncultured bacterium
Lineage: Bacteria
Description: bacterial SSU rRNA
Rfam family: Bacterial small subunit ribosomal RNA
Source: RNAcentral
UUCGAGGGAUGCAAGCGUUAUCCGGAAUUAUUGGGCGUAAAGCGUUUGUAGGCGGGCGAGUGUGUUUAAUGUUAAAUCUUAAAGCUCAACUUUGAAAUUGCGUUAAAAACUGCUUGUCUUGAGUAUGGUAGGGGUAAAGGGAAUUCCCAGUGUAGCGGUGAAAUGCGUAGAUAUUGGGAAGAACACUAAACAGCGAAGGCACUUUACUAGGCUAAUACUGACGCUGAGAAACGAAAGGUAAGGUAGCGAAACGGAUUAGAUACCCGUGUAGUCUUACCCGUAAACUAUGGACACUAAACGGUAAAUUUUUAAUUUACUGUUAAAGCUAACGCGUUAAGUGUCCCGCCUGGGGAGUAUGCUUGCAAAAGUGAAACUCAAAGGAAUUGACGGGGGCCCGCACAAGCGGUGGAGCAUGUGGUUUAAUUCGACGGUACACGAAGAACCUUACCAGGAUUUGACAUGCUAGAUAGUUGCUUGAAAGAGUAACGUGCCGUAAGGAAUCUAGACACAGGUGGUGCAUGGCUGUCGUCAGUUCGUGUUGUGAAAUGUUGGGUUAAGUCCCGCAACGAACGCAACCCUUGUCUUUAGUUAUUUUCUAAAGAGACUGCCUGUAAUAAACAGGAGGAAGGUAAGGAUGAGGUCAAGUCAUCAUGCCCCUUAUGUCCUGGGCUACACACGUGCUACAAUGGGAAAGACAAUGAGCUGCAAAUCUGUAAAUUUAAGCAAAUCUCUUAAACUUUCUCGUAGUUCGGAUUGUGGGCUGCAACUCGCCCACAUGAAGUUGGAAUCGCUAGUAAUCGCCAGUCAGCUAUAUGGCGGUGAAUCCGUUCCCGGGCCU